CCCCAUUGAUGAACUUCCCUGCUAUACUGAAACAAAUGAGAGUUUGUUUGAAGGUGAAGAUGCUGAAGAUAGAUUUGAUGACACAGAAGAAUAUGAGAAUACUACCAAUAUAAGUGAAACCUUGAACAUGAACGUCAUGGAUCUUCAAGCUUACUCAACAGAGGAGUUCCCAUGCUAUAAUAGAGAUGAAGAGACUUCAUUUGAAGGUGAAGGCAGCAAAGUUAGCAAAGAGAAUGAAAAAGACAGCUCAACAAAAUAUGCAAACCAUUCUGCUUCUAGUCCAAGCUUUCGAGAACAGGUGAAGAUCCGUGUUUGCCCCAUUAAUGAACUUCCCUGCUAUACUGAAACAAACGAGAGUUUGUUUGAAGGGGAAGAUGCUGUAAAAAGAUUUGAUGACAAAGAAGAAUAUGAGAAUACUACCAAUAGAAGUGAAACCAUGAACAUGAAUGUGAUAGAUCUUCAAGCUUACUCCGCAAAUGACUUCCCGUACUAUAAUCGAGUGGAGGAGAUUCUGUUUGAAGGAGAAGGAAGCAAAGUUCGCAAAGAGGAUGAAGAAGACUGCGAUAGUGGUAACACUAGUAGGACAGCAAAAGAAACACAUGCAGAUACAAUUAUUCAAAUUUCUUCAAAUAAUGCAACUUCUCAUGAAGAAACCAGACAGUUUGAAGAAUAUAGUAAUAUGCAGCAAAGUUUGAGGAGUAUUUCUUCAUUCUUUCUUCCUACCCUGGAAGAAGAUCAUAUGCAGCCAUCUGUUUCUAUCAAUUCAGUAGUGGGAACAGCACUUACUGGAUUUUCCAUGGAAGAGAUGUUGGUGAACAACACUGUUCCUGAAUUGGAUUGGCUGAAUGGGAAAGAAUAUACAGGUAAAUCUGAUAAAGAUCUGCAACCAAUACACAGUUAUACUGUUCCGGAUGAAAUCGAGGUUAUAGAUUUGUUGUCCCCAUCUCCAGAAUGCAGAAUCAGGGCAAGCAGAAAGAAAAGAAGAGUUUCUAUUGUUUGUCCUGAGAUCAUUGACUUGACAUAAUUAACAGUCUGUCUUUGUUUAUCCAAUUACUGAGCAUUGGACAGGAUAAACGAGUAACAAAUGAGAUCAUUUACUCAAUGCAAUCUCCUUAGUUCGUCCAAUUAUUGAGUGUUGUAUAUGUAGGAAACUGAUAAUGGGAAUAAUAGAAAUGAAGUAUUUAAAUUUGUUCAAUUUGCAUUUUUGUUUGUUUGAUUUCAACAUUUGAUUUCAACUUUACUCAGAUUCCUAAUAGAAAAAAAGAAAAGAAAAGAAAAGAGAUGAGAGUUUGUUUGAAGGUGAAGAUGCUGAAGAUAGAUUUGAUGACACAGAAGAAUAUGAGAAUACUACCAAUAUAAGUGAAACCUUGAACAUGAACGUCAUGGAUCUUCAAGCUUACUCAACAGAGGAGUUCCCAUGCUAUAAUAGAGAUGAAGAGACUUCAUUUGAAGGUGAAGGCAGCAAAGUUAGCAAAGAGAAUGAAAAAGACAGCUCAACAAAAUAUGCAAACCAUUCUGCUUCUAGUCCAAGCUUUCGAGAACAGGUGAAGAUCCGUGUUUGCCCCAUUAAUGAACUUCCCUGCU
This 1584-nucleotide long non-coding RNA is filed under the name Jatropha curcas. Its description in RNAcentral is "long non-coding RNA (JCUR_LNC000237)". The record is from RNAcentral. Lineage: Eukaryota; Viridiplantae; Streptophyta; Magnoliopsida; Malpighiales; Euphorbiaceae.